This 254-nucleotide ribosomal RNA is filed under the name uncultured bacterium. Its description in RNAcentral is "partial 16S ribosomal RNA". It matches the Rfam family "Bacterial small subunit ribosomal RNA", at positions 524 to 776 of the family's 1533-position model. The record is from RNAcentral.
UACGUAGGGGGCGAGCGUUGUCCGGAUUUACUGGGCGUAAAGCGCGCGUAGGCGGAGCGUUAAGUCCGGUCUGAAAGCCCCCCGGCUCAACCGGGGAAGGUGGCUGGAAACUGGCGCACUGGAGGGCGGCAGAGGCGUGUGGAAUUCCUGGUGUAGCGGUGAAAUGCGUAGAUAUCGAGAGGAACACCUGCGGCGAAGGCGGGUUGCUGGGCUGAUACUGACGCUGAGGCGCGAAAGCCAGGGGAGCGAACGGG